RNAcentral lists this ribosomal RNA (412 nucleotides) under uncultured bacterium. Its description in RNAcentral is "bacterial SSU rRNA". It matches the Rfam family "Bacterial small subunit ribosomal RNA", at positions 505 to 916 of the family's 1533-position model. The record is from RNAcentral.
GUGCCAGCCGCCGCGGUAAUACGUAGGGAGCGAGCGUUGUCCGGAUUUACUGGGUGUAAAGGGUGCGUAGGCGGCUCUGCAAGUCAGGUGUGAAAACUAUGGGCUUAACUCAUAGAUUGCACUUGAAACUGUGGGGCUUGAGUGGAGUAAAGGCAGGCGGAAUUCCCGGUGUAGCGGGGAAAGGCGUAGCGAUCGGGAGGAAAACCAGGGGCGGAGGCGGCCUGCUGGGCUUUAAAUGACGCUGAGGCACGAAAGCAUGGGUAGCAAACAGGAUUAGAUGCCCUGGUAGUCCAUGCCGUAAACGAUGAUUACUAGGUGUGGGGGGUCUGACCCCUUCCGUGCCGGAGUUAACACAAUAAGUAAUCCACCUGGGGAGUACGACCGCAAGGUUGAAACUUAAAUGAAUUGACGG